UACGGAGGGGUAGACGUUGUUCGGAAUCAUUGGGCGUAAAGCGCGCGUAGGUGGCCAUGUAAGUCCGCUGUGAAAGUCAAAGGCUCAACCUUUGAAAGCCGGUGGAUACUGCAUGGCUAGAGUACGGAAGAGGCGAGUGGAAUUCCUGGUGUAGCGGUGGAAUGCGCAGAUAUCAGGAGGAACACCAAUAGCGAAGGCAGCUCGCUGGGACGGUACUGACGCUAAGGCGCGAAAGCGUGGGGAGCGAACAGG
This 252-nucleotide ribosomal RNA is filed under the name uncultured bacterium. Its description in RNAcentral is "partial 16S ribosomal RNA". It matches the Rfam family "Bacterial small subunit ribosomal RNA", at positions 524 to 776 of the family's 1533-position model. The record is from RNAcentral.